This 257-nucleotide long non-coding RNA is filed under the name Phascolarctos cinereus (koala). RNAcentral describes it as "lncRNA (ENSPCIG00000030382.2)". Lineage: Eukaryota; Metazoa; Chordata; Mammalia; Diprotodontia; Phascolarctidae. The record is from RNAcentral.
GGUCCCUUCCAUCUCUGGCAUUCCAUGUUCUACAGUUCUAAAUUCCCUUCUGGUUUUGACAUUCUCUGAUACUACGUCAAGAUCUAAACCACCCAAGAGAGAUGACUAUCUGUUCUCAUGGACCUCUAAAGACCCAGGAUCACAGCCUGUGAACAGAUCUACUGAGCAGGAGGUUAACUAGAAGAGGAAGGGUCAGGUAAGAGCAGUCCAUCAAAACAGGCACCACUGUGCAACACUUCCCCUCCUGCCCUCUGAAC